Molecule: long non-coding RNA, 26919 nt
Filed under: Citrus x clementina
Lineage: Eukaryota; Viridiplantae; Streptophyta; Magnoliopsida; Sapindales; Rutaceae
Description: Citrus clementina (C. clementina) long non-coding RNA (CCLE_LNC003577)
Source: RNAcentral
GAUCAUCCAACAACAAAGCAAACUUCUUCUUGCUUAAAGUCUUGAAGAUGUCCUGAGCUUUCUCUUCGAGACUUUUGUCCUUCCAUGAAUCAUUAUAUAGACCUAUCUUUUUCCCGAUAGUUUCUUGAAUUUUUUCAAGCUGCAGGUCUUUUGACACCACAACCCAAAUCACAGAAUCAAAAUCUGUUGGAUUAUCAACAAAUUUAUUAUUGAUUUGGGUUAACAGUGUAGUUUUACCGACACCGCCCAUGCCGUAUAGGCCAAUUAUACCAGCUGCAGGUUCUUGUACAAGACAUCUCCAAACUUGUUCAAGUUGUGAUUGCAAGCCUACCACCGUUGGCUCAGUAGGUCUUUCAUCUGCCACAGAUAUUAAUUCUGGAUCUGGCGCGGCCACCUCUUCAAAAACUCCUUCCCCCUUUAAGGCCUUCACAUCUCGCAGCCUUUUAGCAACUUUUCUACCAAACUUGUAGCUUGACUUGCAGUUCCUGGAGCAGUAGCCUCCAAGACACAAUUUGUCAAUUUCCUGAGAGCCACCAUCUCUUCCCAUGAGUUCAUCAACUUCAGUUUUAAGAGUCUCCACCCUCGAAAGCCAAACCUGCACUUGGUUCAGCCUCUUCAUUUUGUGUUGGUGUUCAGCAUUGAGGACCCUCGUCAUCACAUCAUUCUUUGCAGCGAUUAGUUGUUCCAAUUCAGUCGUCAAGGCAACAACAUUAUCUUUGAGGUCAGUUAUAUAUGCCGCUUUGCCAAGAGCGCAGUCUGGGCAACGAUUGAACAUUGCGCCAACAUCGCAAGAGAUUUGCAAAAUGUUACCCAUAAUGGAUCUCACUUGUAUGUAUGAAUUCAACCAAGAGAGAAACAAAGGAAUUUAACUUCACCAGUUUGAUGAACAGAAGCUGCUGUCGCGGAUUAAUUGAGAUAGAACAUUAGUUAUUGAAUAAUGUAAUCAGCUCUGUUUGUACCCAACUCACUAAAAAAAGUAACAAAAAGGAACAUUAGUUAUUGAAUAAUGUCCAAUACGUAUUAGCAAAGUGGGUAAGUUAUAUUUAAUGUAACCUACGGUCAGUCUGUGAAAUUGUAUCUAGUCUCCUAUGUUCUAUGUUAUUUAUAUUUUAUUCAUAAAUAUUAUAAAUAUUUUGAAAUAUAAAAUUCCGUUUAACCCCUUAUACUCAAUUUUAUUUUAUUGAAACCCUAGAGUAUGAAUUCCCCCCAUAAUUUUAAAUUCUCAAAAUAACCUCCAUUUAAUUAAAAAAUAUAAUUAUUUUUAAAUAAAUUAUAAUUAUAAUUAUUAUUUUAUUAUAAUCAUAAAUAUUUUUUAAAAUAGAUUAUUAUUAUUAUUAUUAUUAUUAACAAGAAUAAAAAGCAUUAUAAUUAAUUAAUCUAUUAACAAUAAUUAAUAAUAUUUUUUAUUAAAUUGUUAAUAAUAAUAAUAAUUAAUGAUUAUCUAACUAAUAGGAAAUGUAUUGCUAAUGCUACCUUCGACUUUAAAUACUCAUUAUCGGGUUUCAAGAGACCAAUGAAUGACAAUUUCUGUCAAAAUUUUAAGCUUGACCCAAUAAAAAUAAUUUUACAUUUAAAAAACUAGAAGUAAGAAAAAUGUGUUUACAUCCUCGAAGGUGUAACAACUUAGCAAAAAGCACUUAAAAAUUACCGUUUAAUAAUGAGAUGCCUACGAAACUAUUAUUUAUCAAAGUAACAAAAAAUCCUGAAAGUACUUGAAAUUAAAAAGUAUAGAAAUAUAAAAGAGUCUCCUACAUAAAUAUGGACUCAAUGUUUAUUCCAUUUUAUUAUAAUCAUAAAUAUGUUAAUUAUCAAAAUUUCUGUCAAAAUUUUUGUUUCCUCCUUUCUAUCUUUCAUAUCAGCAUUAUUUUUGUCUUGAUUAUUGAAUAGUUGAAUAUGUAUGUGUGUGGGGGCAUAUAAUAUAUAGUACUUAGAUUUUGUUUAAUUUUCUAUUGUUAACUUGAUUAUUUGUGGCAUUAAUUUAAUAUGAUUUACAUCUUUUUGGUUGUAGUAUUGAUGAGGUUCCUUUAUAUGAUGACCCAAUUUUUUUUUUUUUUUUUUGGUCUUCAUUUGUUUAAUUAUGAGAAAAAUAAAAUAGUAAUAAGAUUGGUCAAUUUGGGUAAACAAUUAAUGAACUAAUGUAGUAUAUCUCAUCUCACUCCCCUAGCAUAUCAUAAAUUUCCAAAAUUUGUCUUCAAUCGAUUAAACAUAAAUUUCAAAAUUCUUUAAAAAAAAAAAAGCCAAUACCGAUCCUUUAAAGUUUAAAACAUCCAAAAAGGAAAAAAAAAAAAAAAUCAUCUAUUAGCAUAUGGUAAAAGCAUAAUUCGACUAAAGUUGGGACAUGGCAUGUGGUAGACAUGUGGAUUGAUUGCUUGUGUUAUUGAAUCGUUGUAUCAUCGACUUCGCAUUAUUAAUAAGCUUUUUAACUUUUAUGAUUUUAUAAUAAACAGUAGGGGUUUAAGUGUUAAUAACCAAUUGAACACAUUUCAACGGUUGAACACUUUAACCCUCGUAUCAAAUGGCUGAACCAGAAAAUGACAAAGUUUGGGGUACCGUGCAACUGUUGCACGGUAGGCGGACCCUAUUGAAUAAUGUAAUCAAGUCAUGGGUAGACGGAUGAAUCCUAUAAAUCUAUAGGCGGACCCUAUAGAUUGAUUAGUCAAGUAAGGGAAAUGGGUCCGUAACUUUCAAGCAAGACUUGACGUCCUGUCCCUUGCCUCCUCACCAUACCAUUAAAGUUUUGAAGUUAGGCCAAUUAGAUUAAAGGUGAGAUGGAAUGGAUUUAUGGAGUCGUUGAUUACUGAACGUAUUUGCCAAUCUAUUGGACGUAUUAAAGUUCUUUCCCUUUCAACAUUAUUGAACGUAUUUUGCAGGGAAACCUCCUCUAUCUUUCUUCCCAUUAACGUCCAAUUAAGACUUUUGUGUAUCCAAUUAAUGUCCAUUAACUUGAAGAUUGAAGAGGGCCAGCGUUAUUUCAAAGUCAAGAUUGGCUUAUUAGCUUGCAGAAUUCUUGAUAUGAGUUAAAAAAAUAAAUAAAUAAGGUUGAAAAGGAUUAGGAUUAGCUUAGUUUUUAUUGAUCAUUGAAUUAAUGGUUAGGAUUUAUUUUAUAUUUUACUUUUUUCAUCUAAUUACCAAUCUAGUGGUCAGCACUGAAUUGAAUACUUGUCUAAUUGAAAGGUAAUGGGUAAAAGGUUUUUAAAACUUUAAAUAUUUUUGUGAAUUUUUGAGCAGCAGCCAAAUUCCAAGAUUCUCAACAAUUUUUGAGCCAAUCCCAAAGGAGAUUUAGUUUACUAUACACAUGCCACUUCUUAAUAAUUAAGAUCUACAUAAAUGACUUUUAAUUUUGUAUGAUGAUCUCUUCCUCUUUGGAACAGAUACUCAAAUUUUAUUCAUCGUGACUGUGUUGAUCAAAACCGAUAUUAAUCAAUCUUGUAUUCAAGUACACUCAACCAAUUCUGUUUUCUUACAGAAUUGUUCAGAAAUAAAGAACUGUAAUUACCUCCAAAAUCAAACAAAUAAUAACCAAUAUGUUAUAUUUUUUAAUUGGUUUUUUUCCCCUUCAAAUAAUGGAGUCCAUAGUGCAGUUUUGACUGGCACAUGUACUAAGAUAUGAAAGUUAAUGUACAAAAUGGAAGAAUAAUAAAAUCAUGUCCGAAAUUAUUAAUUCUCAGGUGCAACCUAAAUUUAGAUGUAUCUUAAUUCUUAAAAGGAGAAAAAAAAAAAGAGUCAAUCAUUGUUAGAGCUUCAAGAGCUUUGAGAUCUUAUUGGUUUAUUUUAUUAUUAGUAUUUGGCGUUUUUCGCUUUCAGGAUAGUCGCAACAAAUAGAUUCUUGAAAGAGCGGUGCUAUUGGCACCUUCUUAAAACUCAAUUGAAACCCCAUUUUCAUGUUUAUAGCUUUAUUCUUAGUUAAAAUUACACAAAAGGACAAAAGAAAUUUAAUUAAAAUUUAAUUUUCUUUUCUUUUUGUUACUAAUUCUUCAAACCCAAUAAAUUACUUUAUUGGGAUUUUUGUUAUUUUUGCCUUUAAUUUCUUUUUUUUUUGUAAGUAAAAUAAGUGCCCACUUGGUGAAGAAAAUCCAAUAAUUUGAUAAAAAUCUAAUAAAUUUCUUGGACCUUUUUUUCUUAAUUAUUUCCAAAAUCAUUUUGGAACUAAAAAAAAUUGAAUCCCAUAUACAUUAGAUACUGAAAAUAAAGAGUUUAUGAUGUGUGGGUAUGAACUGCGAAGAGUUAAAAAGAAAAUACGUACAUGGAUUGGGGUUUAAUAAUUUUGUAUUUGUAGUUUUAUGUAAUUUUCUCUGGUGAAAGAGCUGUUAAUGAAAACGGGGUUUCAUAAGAAUAACGAGGGGGUGCCAAUAGUAUUACUCUUCUUGAAAAUCAUAUGAGAAAGACAAAUAGCCCAAAAACAAAGUGCCUGUAUCUUUAAAUUUAUUAUAGAGUAGUAAUUUUUAUUUUUUUUUUAAAAAUUGCUCUACCUUUUUUUUUUCAAAACCUUAACUAAAAUAUUAAAAUUGUGAAAAUUAGGAAUCUGGUCAGGAUGAUAUUCUGAGUCCCAUUUUCAUUUUCAUUUAUUGAAAAUAAGUUGAACAACUGUUCGGUAUAAUGUUCUAAUAAAAUGAAUUAUGAAAUAAAAAAUACAGAUUUUACUUUUGUUUACUCAAAAAGUUGAAGAACGACAUUUUUAUGGUUUUAUUGAAUUUCAAGAAUGGAAGCCAUUCUCUCAUCUUUAUCUUAUAUUAGCGUCCAUGGUAAUUAAAAUGGUUUUUGUAUCAAAUUGAUAAGAUUGAAACAUCUAAUGCUACAAUGGCUUUUGUGAUUAUUUUAAAUUUGAAGUUAAAAUUUGAUAAAACUAAUAAGUUUUAUUGAGCAGAAGAUGAGUGGAAGGACUUUUUCUAUGAUAUUUAGCCGAACAAAAAGAUAAAAUAAAAUGUUCAAGGACUUUAAAAAAAUGUCGUCAUAUUUUGCUUGUACCAAUGAAACAGUAGUUGUGAAAAAGGAUUAAAAUAAUAUUUUCAAAUGAGAUUUUUCUCUAUACCUUAUCAUACCUUUUAUUUGAAUAUCUUUCUUCGUAUAUAAAUUUAUGAUUACAUUUAUCAGAUGCUCUAUAAUAUAUUUCAUUUACUGAAAAUUUUUAUUAUUAAAUGUAAUGAACAAUUUAAUCUUUUUAUAAGUGUUUACUGUGUGAUACCAAAAAAUAAAUAAACUCUAAAUAAUCCAUUGACAUAAAUAUAAACUAUAUGUUUAAGUUAAAAAAAAAAGUUUCAAUCCAAUGCUACCGAACAAGUAUUACAGUUUUUUUAUUUAAAAUAUAAGUUUCAAAAACUCAUACUGAACACAUACUUAUAUUUAGAAUACUAGUUUCAAAAACAUCAUUUUUAUUUUUGUUUUUGUUCUAUAAAAACAUCAAUUGACAAUAAUAAAGACAAAGAAUUGAAAAUUUUAAUAAGAAUUAAUCUAACUACUCUCUUUAAAAGGAAAAAAAAAAGAAAAAAGAAAAAAGAAAAUAUCUAACUACACUCACUUUCUAAAAAUAUUAAUACAUAUAAUUACACUAAAACCCCUAUACAUUUUUAUUUUACCAAAUAAUUAUGUGAUUAAUAUUUAUUUAUAAAAUAUAACAAUUAUGUGAUUAAUAUAAUAUUAAUUUUAUAAUCUCAACUCAAUGGUCAUAUCAAGAGCAUAUUUAAUUAUUUUAUUUUUAAUCUACAAUUGAGAUGUCACACCAUGGAGUUAAAGCGGUUGUUAUCAUUUUGUUUUCUGAUUUAAUUUCUAUUUUAAAAAUAAUUUGAGACCCCGUGAGCAUUCAACGAAUGAUUUGCGAGUUUGGAGGAGUCCAUGCAUAUGGGGCCCACUGGUCGUUUGAUGAUUGAUUAUGUCACAUGAUUCCUGCCACAUACGAUUAUUAUCCACCCUUUAUCUCUUUUUUUUUUUUCUUUAAUAAAUAACCCUCUUUACUCAUUUCACUUCCAAAUUCAUGUUCAUGCCCUUACACUAUUGAUUUAUCUAUUUUUUAUUUUACAUUUUUUUUUACUCUUCCUCAUGUUAUUGUCCCUUUCUUUUUCCUUAGCAGUAAUGUUCCCAAAUUUAAUCGAGAAACAAAGAUAUAAAUGAUAGAACUUAUUAGUUUGAUAAUUUAUAAACUCGCAAUAGAUGAUACUCAUUUUCAUUCCUAGAUAAAUGCAAUACGGCCGUGUAUAAAAUACGUCGAGAUUUGGGAAAAACGUGGCCCUAAGGCCUUUUUAGUAAGAUUAGGGAUUUCACUGAAAUUUAAUUCCUUUAAAAUGUGAAGUUUACGUUUUGCACCCUUUGAAUUUACAGUUUCUUAUUUAUGGCAUCUCAAUUUGGCUUCUCUCGAAUAUGGUCCACGUUAAACCAAAAUUAUAAUUGCACCACUAAAUAUGACAGUACUGGAAAACUAUUUGAAGUGGAAAGUUAGUGAGUUUCUAUUUUUUUUUAAGGAUAUAUUUUAAGUAUUAUAUAGAUAAAAAUUAACUAUCUACCUAAGUAACCAAGCGAGCAAUUUAAACUUUAGACCUCUUUUACAUCAACGGAUUAUGUUUGGCAGACUCAAUUUGUCAAUAACUAGAUAUAUGUUACGACAGACUCAAUUUGGGGCAGAUUCUAAGGUAAGGAAAUUGAAAAUGCCUAUUUUCGAAGGUGAGGAUGCCUAUGGAUGGGUGUAUAGGGUAGAGCGCUAUUUCGCCAUCAAUGGACUCUAAGAAAGGGAAAAAUUGAUGGCGGCGGCGUUAUGUUUGGAGGGAAAGGCCCUUGCGCAGUUUCAAUGGUGAGAACAACGAAAACCGUUGAGGUCAUGGGAUGAGUCUAAAGAUCGGCUAUUGGAGAGGUUUCAGGGCACUCAAGAGGGAGAUUUGCAUGAACAAUUUUUUACUUUGACCCAGGAUAGAAUGGUUAUGGAGUAUAAGGAGAAGUUUGAGUUACUAUUAGGGCGUUUAUGGGGAAUUCCAGAGGCGGUAUUGGAAGGAAAUUUUAUGAAGGGACUGAAGCCAGAAAUCCGAGCCUCGCUACGCUUGCUAAGGUCGAGAGGGUUAGGGGAGUCAAUGGAGUUGGCACAAUUGGUUGAGGAUAAGAGCACGAUAGAACGGGUUAAUAGGAGCAAUUCAGUCAAUUUUUCAUACCAAAACAACACGCCAUUGGUAGGACAGAAAACCCAGACUUUGGGGUUCCAGCGAGAGUUCCAAAGUACACCACUAGGAGGCCAGAAAAUGCAAAUGGUGGAUUUAUAGAGAGAUUCCCAAAGGGAUUGGGAUAGUGGGGCACGACUGGGGGUGACUUUCGAACGCCUCAUGGAGACAGAGAUUCAGGAUAAGAGGGCGAAGGGGUUGUGCUUUCGAUGUGAUGAGAAAUUUUCACCAGGGCAUCGAUGUAAGGAUAAAUCACUACAAGUCCUGACUGUGUGUGAUGAGGAAGAAGGCUAGAAAGAAGCUGAAGAAGAAGACGCAGUAAUUUCCUAGAUUUCACCUUGAGGACAAUGUGUCUUUUUGGGAGGAGAGUAAUGUUUGACCAAUGAAAAUUUAAAUGCAAUUAUAAAGAGGCAAGGGCACUUUAGUAAUCUUAGAGACGGAGACAGUUUAAUAAUUUUAUUAUUAAUUAGGGUUUAAAUAUAAAUAAAAAAUUAUGGAGUCACUUAGAAUUUAUUAGUGUUGUUUUGGUGCAUAAUUGAUUUUGAUACCAUUACGCCCUAUUAUUCCUUUGUUCAGCACGGAGUAAUUUUGUUUUCAUCCACACUUUGAUUGAAGCUCUGCCGGCGAAAGUGCUGACUACUAUUGCACGGACCUACGCUAUCUUUGACAACUUAAGACAUUUAUCCUAGGACAAUGUGACCUAUAGUGGCUGACAAAUGCCUGCUUUAUUUAAUUCUCAAGCACCUGUCAUCUGAGCAAUGUUAAAUCAAUUAAUUGUGCCUUUUUUAUUACCACAUAUCUUCUUUGGCCUUGAACCAUUCAUUUUUGCCAAGGGUUGACUCUUUUUCCUCAUGGUGAGCUGAAGCUGUAUACUGCUUUUGUGGAAUCUUGGCAUCCAACACUAAAUUAAGAUUUCAGCCUUCAAACUUAUAAUGCAAGAUAUUAGAUAGUGUUUGGGUGGCUCCUGAAUAGUGCCAAAAAGAAUGAGUCUUGGCCACCAUUGCUGAAUUUUGUUUAACCUUUAACACAAUGAUGACUUCAUCUUGCUACAUUUACAUAUAACAGAUUUCAUUAUCUUCUUAGGAUUUACUGGAGGGUCUGAAUCAACUGGAAGAAGGUUUGAAGGAUAAUACUAAGAGAUUGAGUUCUUUCGACAAGUACAUGCAAGAAGUCCUCCUUGGCCAUCUCGACUGGUCCCCCAUGCACAAAGAUUCCCUAUUCUGGGGUGAUAAUAUCACAAACUUUGAAGAAAAUGAUUUCCAGGUAUUUCUUUUCCCCAUGGACGGUGUUUCUAGUUUUUAUUUUUCAUUUUUUCUGCUUUAACCGCACUGAAUGACCCUGCUAAUAUCUGUAUCGUCUCGUUCAGCAUCAUUUUGUAUAAAUACCUACAAAGUUUCUGUAAUACUAAUGGAUAAUCUUCUCUCUCAGAUUCUAAGGGUCCUCUUAACAAUUUUGGAUACAUCCAGUGAUCCACGAGCUCUUGCUGUCGCUUGCUUUGAUCUCUCACAGUUUAUCCAGUACCAUCCAGCUGGGCGGGUCAUUGUGACAGACCUCAAAGCCAAGGAACGGGUGAUGAAAUUGAUGAACCAUGAGAAUACCGAGGUUACCAAGAGCGCCUUACUCUGCAUCCAAAGGCUUUUCCUAGGCGCAAAGUACGCGAGCUUUUUGCAGGCCUGAAUUCUCUUUCUAUGGGGUCCAGUAUUGUUUACAAAGGAAAUGCUUGUAAUGAUUUGAUUCCAGUUUGGCUGGUUAGGUUGUUUAUUUAUUUAUCAAUCAUUGGAGGAAUUUAUGAAUCAGGGGAACUCGUCUGUUGGAUUUUUUUAAGUACUGUGAAGAAUUAGUUGAUUUUUUACCAUAUUUUGGAAAUUUAUUUUGUUUGUGAGAUGAGGAAUAAAUUGAUACCAUCUGUACUGACCUUUGAUAUGAAAACUACUCGAGCGCAUGACAUAUAUCUGUUUUUGUUCAUUUCUGUAUCUUGCUGCUGACUGAAGCUGGAUUUUCAGGCUCGUUAUUAUCAUCUAUUCUUUUGAAGUUGCAAAAUGAAUUCUCAAUAUUUUCAGGGGAAAUGCUUAUAAUUAGCGCGGAAUUAAACAUUGAUUGUGUACUGUAUACUUCCAAAAGGCAAUUUAUUUCCAUUGAUUUGAGUAAACUAAAUCUCCGUGAUGGUAGCACUUUUUUAAUCACUUAUUAAAGAAUUCUUUGAAAAUUUGAUGAUUGUUGUUGAAAACAUUUACUAAUUGUAAAUGCGUUAAAAAUUAUUUGAUUCAUUUAGUAUCACUAAUAGUGAUUUAAUUUUUCAUCUUGAUUGAACGAUGAAUUUUGUAUUAAUCCGGAAAAGUGCUACUGUUACUCCAACCACGCGUCGCUUAAAGGUUCAUGUAAUUUGAGACGACUUGUCGUCUAUGUUUUAUUCCGGACCGGUUCACGCAAACUUUAAAGCUUUCGAGUACUCGCGGAGCGGCGAUCGCUAAUCCCUCAAAAGAAGACACACAAGGAAUGGAGACUGAGAAAGUAAAGGAGAAGGAGAAGGAGAAAGUGUGCAAGAGGUGUAAGCAAACGUACACAGCUUCAUCAAACAGCUCUUCUUCUUGCCGCUUUCACCCUUCCUUCUUCGUUUGCCGUCGUCACGACGACCAGAAAAGGUACCCACCCCACUCCCUCUUUUGAUCAUCAUUUCGCAUACACUUUUCUUCAAUUUAUUUUUUUUUAAUUUUUUUCUCAUGUACCCUUGUGAUUCUUUUGCAUUCUUUAUUGGAUGUUAUUAAUUAUUAUUAAAAAAAUUCUAAAAAAUAAAUAAAAUUCACGGCAGCUAGGAGUUGAAUGAAACUCUGAGGCCAGUCCAGUUUGGUAGGAUUCUUUGAUUUACAAAGCAUCGAGUAAUCAGAUUUGCUGGGCAUUCAUUUUGCUUUGUUAUUUUUCCAUGUAUCAAUUUUCAGUUCAUAAUUUGUGUCUGAGUGUGAGUGCACAAAUUUUGAUCUGUAACUAAUUAAUGGAUAUCAUUGUUUAAAAUGUGAAAAAUUUAGUUUAUUCUAUGCUAGUUUUUCAUAACAUGAGUUGGACUGAGCUCAGUCAGUUGAUGCUCCAUGUUUUUGAUUCAUUGAAGGUACUAUGAAUUGGGACCUGAUGAUCCGCCAUAUGCUGCCAAGUUUUACGACUGCUGCGGGGCCGAGGAUGCUGAUGCCUCUGGUUGUACCACUGGCUUCCAUGUCUCUUAUGAUGAUGAUUAACAUAAUUUUUACCUCCUAAUCACCUGUAACUAUAGAUUAAAUUUGUAGAUAUCUCCGUGUCUCCUCCUGUGACCCACAUCAUUUCCACUGUUCUACCACUGUAUAAUUCAGGCCUUUCAUCAGUUUAUCUCUUCAUUUCUCAACAUUUUUCUUUUUUUUUUUUUCCUGGGGUUGAUCUGGCAUGAAUUCGACAUGUGCUGCUAUGGCCAACUUUCGAGGGAUGAUGGUAAAUCUAAACCCUUUUCCAUAAACUUCUGCAAUUAGUUGGUCUAGGGCAUUUGAAGAGCUUAUACUGGAAGCCAUUGCCUUCCCACAUCUUAAGUAAAGAGUAAUGCUACUUUGACAGAAAUAGGUUUACAAAAUUUUGACAUACUUAUGAAAUACUAAAUUACCUUUUAGUUUAUUUACAGAUAGCGAAUUGGGCUUUUUACAUAUUUUUGUAAGAAUCAACCUAAACUUAUAUUCAGGAAAGAAAUAACUGCAGAGGAGAAAAAAGUAAUGAGGCGAUAGAAAAUUAUGCCAAAAUUAAUAGUAAGGCAUUUGAGAUUGCAGUAGAACUUCUCAAUAAUCAUAUUAUUAGGAUCAAUUGAUUUUGUUACUAUAAGGAGGUUAAAACUUUGUAGAGGUUUAGUUCAAAAUUACUAUCUUGACUUCAUUAUUCUUAGUGUAAGUAAGAUAAUUAAUAAAUAAUUAAUGAAGUGUGUCAAUUCUAUGAAGCUUCAAACAUGCUUGAAUACUUAAAAAUAUUUUGUCUUCAACAAGAAGGUGUGUAUAUUAUUGAAUUAUUUUUGCAAUAUACAAAUAAUUAUUAUUAUGUGGAGGCAAUUUCAAAGAUGUGAUAACAAUUUUAAAGAAUAAAUCAUUGUCUCAAACAAUUUUAAAAAAUAUUUUUUUCUAUACUAAAUCUUUUAAAGUAACAAAUAUGUUUUGCAAUACACAUAUAAUUAUUAUUAUGUGGAGAUAAGUUACUAAAGUCAGAAUCUAAAACACUUAUUACAAUUAGAGUUAAUUCUUAUUUAUAAUUUACUUAAAUUAAAGUUAAAAUUUUUUUAUCACUAUAAAAGAGUUAUUUCUAUAUAGAUAAUCACUAUAAAUAUAGAGUAUCACUAUAAAAAAGUUUUACGAUCAAUCAUCCGUCAUAAUAAGCACAAGAAUGACAAGUUUUGAGUCUCAAAUAAAUUCUUAUAAAACACAACCAUGGAUUAAGAUUGUCGGGAAAUGGGAAUGCAAUACAAAGUAAUUAAUGACACAGUCACAGUGUUUCACUUACACGUGAAGCAAACGAAACAAGAAGAAUCUUAAGAAAAAAACACUCACCGGAACGCAAGGUUCAAUCCCGGUUUACUACGUCAACCUCCGUUGGAAACAGAGACGAAAAGCAUUUUGAGUGGCUUCAUCCUCCCAUUGAAGCCUUCUCCACCAGUAUUCACCUCCACGAAUAAGAAUUCUGCGCCCAUUUGCACUAUUUGAAUCGAGUGGAAGCUUUUUAAGCGAAUCGCAAACCCAAACUUGCAAUACUUUCAGACGUGGGAGAGGCAAGGGCUUCCAGUAAAUGCUCUUCAAACGGACCAGUCCUCCUAACUCAAGACGCUGGAGUUUUGCAAAAGGGCUGUUUAUUAUUCCCGUCAUCUCAGGAAUGUCAUCAAACUCUCCAGCACUGAUUAUUUCUUCCAUGUCAUCGCAAUAGCUUACGGAAAUAGACUUGAGGUUUGGAGCAAAAACGAGGAAUGUCAAGUGUUUCAAAUUUCUGCAAAAGCGUACGGUAACUUUCUCAAGGCUGCGGAAAACAUAAGGUUGGCGCGAUUUUUGUACCAUAUCAUUGCAGUCAAUCUUCAGUCCCUUAAUACAACCACAACUAAAAAAGUCUAAUGUAUUGAGCUGCUCUAGAUCGGCUAAAUCUGCAACAUCGAUCGACUCCUCCCUAUCGAAGCGAUGGAGCAAGAGAGCUUGAGUACAACUUCGUAACUUCUGUGAGCUCAAAAAUGUUUGGUAAGCCUCAAAACUCCUGAAGGAGAUCUCCAGUACCUCUAAAUAUUUCAAACCGAGCAAUUCCUCUGCUACAUUCUCAUGCCAAGAGCUAAGUAAAAAACCAGUAGCAAACAUUCUCAACACACGUAACCUUGAAAAAUUAGAUAACAGUUGCUGUGGAACUACAACUAACUCUUUUGCCCAGACCAAAUUCAAACAUUUAAGAUUUACCAACGCUUUUAACUCUUCGGGUAACUCUGUAACGCUUGUAUUUGAAAUAUCAAGGAGUUGUAGUGAAACCAACUUUGAGAUCCCCAUUGGUAACUGCCGUAGCGUUUCAUUAUCUGACAUCUUCAAAACUGUUAGACAAGACAUAGACUGGAAGAAGCCACCGGUGAUCGUCCUCAACGGAUUACGGUUAAGAAACAAAGUAAGAAGAUGAGGGCAUGUCGGAACAGUUGGUAGAUUAUCAAUUGAAUUUCUCAUCAAUGAUAAUCUUCUCACAAUUUCCCAUCCUCUGACAUCUGCCUCCCUUAAUCCGGAACCUGCAUAAACCAAAAAGCCCUCCUUCUCCUUCUCAAUCUCACAAGUUAUCCACAAUGCCAUAUCGCGGACGACGUCAUGCAUUUUUACUUGAUCAUCUUCUACCUCUUCCAAUAAACAUGCAUGAACAAGAGUGCCCACGAUAUAGUAUCCUCGGUUUUGUGUGCCAAACUUGUCUUCUUCCAAAAACCCCUCGCACAUCCAGCAAUCAAUCAAGUCUCUUUUAUCUAUGCCGUAAUCUUCCGGAUAUAAACAACAAUAUAAGAAACAAGAUCUGAUUGCAUCGCUUGGCAAGCAAUCAUAGCUGAAUUUUAAAAGAGGAUAUACCUCCUUUCCCAAACCUGCAAAUUCGGAAGCUGAUCUUCUUAAAACUUCAAUCGCAUAUCUCCAUUCUUCAGGAGUCUUUUUGUAGGCCAUGGCUCGACCAAUAGUAAUAAGCGCGAGCGGCAACCCACCGCACUCCUUUGCCACAGUUUGAGCUAGUUCAGGAAUACUAUGAUGACUCUCAAUAGUUUCUUCCCCAACUUUCUCUCGAAAUAGCUCCCAAGCAUCCUCAUCGGAUAAGCAUGCCACUUUGAACUUCCUUCGAGCUUCCAUACCGCCACAAACAUCAACGAAACGGGUUGUAAAUACUACUGCACUAUUCUUUGGAAGAGGGACACCAAUCUUCUUUAGAUCAACCCGCUCCCAUAGAUCAUCCAACAACAAAGCAAACUUCUUCUUGCUUAAAGUCUUGAAGAUGUCCUGAGCUUUCUCUUCGAGACUUUUGUCCUUCCAUGAAUCAGUAUAUAGACCUAUCUUUUUCCCGAUAGUUUCUUGAAUUUUUUCAAGCCGAAGGUCUUUGGACACCACAACCCAAAUCACAUAAUCAAAAUCUGUUGGAUUAUCAACAAAUUUAUUAUUGAUUUGGGUUAACAGUGUAGUUUUACCGACACCGCCCAUGCCGUAUAGGCCAAUUAUACCAGCUGCAGGUUCUUGUACAAGACAUCUCCAAACUUGUUCAAGUUGUGAUUGCAAGCCUACCACCGUUGGCUCAGUAGGUCUUUCAUCUGCCGCAGAUAUUAAUUCUGGAUCUGGCGCGGCCACCUCUUCAAAAACUCCUUCGCCCUUUAAGGCCUUCACAUCUCGCAGCCUUUUAACAACUUUUCUACCAAACUUGUAGCUUGACUUGCAGUUCCUGGAGCAGUAGCCUCCAAGACACAAUUUGUCAAUUUCCUGAGAGCCACCAUCUCUUCCCAUGAGUUCAUCAACUUCAGUUUUAAGAGUCUCCACCCUCGAAAGCCAAACCUGCACUUGGUUCAGCCUCUUCAUUUUGUGUUGGUGUUCGGCAUUGAGGACCCUCGUCAUCACAUCGUUCUUUGCAGCCAUUAGUUGUUCCAAUUCAGUCGUCAAGGCAACAACAUUAUCUUUGAGGUCAGUUAUAUAUGCAGCUUUGCCAAGAGCGCAGUCUGGGCAACGAUUGAACAUUGCGCCAACAUCGCAAGAGAUUUGCAAAAUGUUACCCAUAAUGGAUCUCACUUGUAUGUAUGAAUUCAACCAAGAGAGAAACAAAGGAAUUUAACUUCACCAGUUUGAUGAACAGAAGCUGCUGUCGCGGAUUAAUUGAGAAUUUGAGAUAGAACAUUAGUUAUUGAAUAAUGUAAUCGGCUCUGUUUGUACCCAACUUACUAAAAAAGUAACAAAAAGGAAAAUUUUGAAAGGUGGAAUGCAGCUGGCAAAGGAAAAAUCAAAGGGCAUGCUUCCCACGUCAAGAUGGUGGUGGUGGUCACCAUCUUUGUGUUUCCUUGACCUUAUCCAAUAUUCAUCAUUUUUGGUCCCACACCAUGUGCUUGACAGUUGUUUCGAUUUUAUCUCUUUUUAUUCCCCCUUUCUUUGUUUCUUUCUUUCUUUCUUUCUUUCAGAUCAGCAUUUUUGUCUUGGUGUGGGCAUAUAAUAUAUAGUACUUAGAUUUUGUUUAAUUUUCUAUUGUUAACUUGAUUAUUUGUGGCAUUAAUUUAAUAUGAUUUACAUCUUUUUGGUUGUAGUGUUGAUGAGGUUCCUUUAUAUGAUGACCCAAUUUUUAUUUUUUUUUGGUCUUCAUUUGUUUAAUUAUGAGAAAAAUAAAAUAGUAAUUAGAUUGGUCAAUUCGGGUAAACAAUUACUGAACUAAUGGAGUAUAUCUCAAUCUCACUCCCCUAGCAUAUCAUAAAUUUCUAAAAUUUGUCUUCAAUCGAUUAAACAUAAAUUUCAAAAUUCUUUAAAAAAAAAUUCGCCAGUACCAAUCCUUUAAAACAUCCAAAAGGGAAACAAAAAAAAAAAAAAAAAACAAACUCAUUUAUGGGCAUAUGGUAAAAGCAUAGUUUGAUUAAAGCUGGGACAUGACAUGUGGUAGACAUGUGGAUCGAUUGCAUAUGUUAUUUGAGUCGUUGUAUCAUCGGCUUCACAUUAUUAAUAAGUUUUUUUCCCCAAAUUCUUCUAAGAAUUAUGCGUAUAUUUUUUAGCAUAAUUGUUGGCUGAUCAGAAACUCUCGAAAGCUGGCCUAUAAUUUAGAUUAAACCAACAAUUAACAUGAGAAGUUAGGCUGGCAGGACAAUGGGAACCAACUCAAAUCUGGUUCCAUUAGCAAGCAGCAGCCAAAUUCCGAGAUUUUCAACAAUUUUGAACCAAUCCCAAAGGGAGAUUUAGUUGAGUAUACAAGAUUUCUCUUUGUCACUAGCCGUGCAUGCCGCUUCUUAAUAAUUAAGAUCUACAUAAAUGACUUUUAAUUUUGUAUGAUGAUCUCUUCCUCUUUGGAACAGAUACUCAAAUUUUAUUCAUCGUGACUGUGCUGAUCAAAACCGAUAUUAACCAAUCUUGUAUUCAAGUACACUCAACCAAUUCUGUUUUCUUACUGAAUUGUUUAUAAAUAAAGAACUAUAAUUACCUCCAAAAGCAAACAAAUAAUAAUCAAUAUGUUAUAUUUUUUUCAUUGAUUUUUUCCCCUUUAAAUAAUGGAGUCCAUAGUGUAGUUCUGACUGGCACAUGUACUGAGAUAUGAAAGUUAAUGUACAAAAUGGAAGAAUAAUAAUAUUCUGUCCGAAAUUAUUAAUUCUCAGGUGCAACCUAAAUUUAGAUGUAUCGUUAAAGGAGUAAAAAAAAAAAAAAGAGUCAAUCAUUGAUAGAGCUUCAAGAACUUUGAGAUUUUAUUAGUUUAUUUUAUUAAGAAAAUUAUCAUUUGUAUACCCUUAGUUUAUUUCAUUAUAAAAAAUACUACAAUACUUUGAGGGUGUAUCAAUCGUCCACCCAAAAUUGAUAAAAUGUAUCAACUGACUACCAAAUCGUUAGUUGCCGUUUAAAUAUGAUGACACUAGGAGGGCAAUUUGGUCUUUUCAUAUGAUACAAGUGAUAAUUUAAGGGUAUACAAGUGACAAAAAGAGAAAUUAAGGGUAUACAAGUGAUAAUUUUUAAGGGUAAAAUCAUCAAUUCACUGUAAUUCUGUUAACUUUCAAACGACAACUAAUGGUUUGGUGGUCGGCUGAUACAUUUUGUCAACUAAGGGUAGACGAUUGAUACACCCUCAAAGUGUUGUAGUAUUUUUAAUAAUAGAAUAAAUAUAGGGUAUACGAAUGAUAAUUUCCCAUUUUAUUAUUAGUAUUUGGCUUUUUUCGCUUGCACGAUAGUCGCAACAAAUAGAUUCUUGAAAAUCAUAUGAGAAAGACAAGCAGCCCAAAAAUAAAGUGCCUAUAUCUUUAAAUUUAUUAAUUUUUAUUUUUUAAAAAAAAAUUGCUCUACCUUUUUUUUUUCAAAACCUUAACUAAAAUACUAAAAUUGCAAAAAUUAGGGACCUGUUCAGGAUGAUAUUUUGAGUCCCAUUUUCAUUUUCAUUUACUAAAAAUAAGUUGAACAACUGUUCAGUGUAAUGUUUUAAUAAAAUGAAUUAUGAAAUAAAAAAUACAUAUUUUACUUUUGUUUACUCAAAAAGUUGAAGAACGACCUUUUUAUGGUUUUGUUGAAUUUCAAGAAUGGAAGUCAUUCUCUCAUCUUUAUCUUAGUUUAGCGUCCAUGGUAAUUAAAGUGAUUUUUGUAUCAAAUUGAUAAGAUUGAAACAUCCAAUGCUGCAAUGGCUUUUGUGAUUAUUUUAAAUUUGAAAUUAAAAUUUGAUAAAACUAAUAAGUUUUAUUGAGCAGAAGAUGAGUGGAAGGACUUUUUCUUUGAUUUUUAGCCGAACAAAAAGAUAAAAUAAAAUGUUCAAGGACUUAUAAAAAAAAAAAAAAAAGUCCUCAUAUUUUGCUUGUACCAAUGAAACAGUAGUUGUGAAAAAGGAUUAAAAUAAUUAAAAUAAUUUUUUCAAAUGAGAUUUUUCUCUAUACUUUAUCAUACCUUUUAUUUGAAAAUCUUUUUUCGUAAAUAAGUUUAUGAUUUCAUUUAUCAGAUGCUCUAUAAUAUAUUUUAUUUACCGAAAUUUUUUAUUAUUAAAUGUAAUGAAGAAUUUAAUUUUUUUAUAAGUGUUUACUGUGUGAUACCAAAAAAUAAAUUGACUCUAUAUAAUUCAUUGACAUAAAUAUAAACUAUAUGUUUAAGGUAAAAAAAAAGUUUCAAUCCAAUGCUAUCGAACAAAUAUUACAGUUUUUAUAUUUAAAAUAUAAGUUUCAAAAACUCAUACCGAACACAUACUUAUAGUCUUAUAUUUAGAAUACUGGUUUCAAAAACAUCAUUUUGAUUUUUAUUUUUGUUCUAUAAAAACAUCGAUUGACAAUAACAAAGACAAAUAAUUGAAAAUUUUAAUAAGAAUUAAUCUAACUACUCUCUUUAAAAGGAAAAAAAAUAUCUAACUACACUCACUUUCUAAAAAUAUAAAUACAUAUAAUUACACUAAAACCCGUAUAAAUUUUUAUUUUAUCAAGUAAUUAUGUGAUUAAUAUUUAUUUAUAAAAUAAAUAUUAAUUUUAUAAUCUCAACUCAAUGGUCAUAUCAAGAGCAUAUUUAAUUAUUUUAUUUUUAAUCUACAAUUGAGACGUCACACCCUAGAGUUAAAGCGGCUUUUAUCAUUUUGUUUUUUUUUAUUUAAUUUCUAUUUUUAAAAUAAUUUUAGACCCUGUGAGCAUCCAACGAAUGAUUUGCCAGUUUGGAGGAGUCCAUGCAUAUGGGGGCCCACUAGUCGUUUGACGAUUGAUUACGUCACGUGAUUCCUGCCACAUACGAUUUUUAUUGAUUAUCCACUCUUUACCCCUUUUUUUUAUUUAAUAAAUAAUCCUCUUUACCCAACUAGUCAGGCUUUUCUCGAGUGGCCAACGGUUCAAGCUUAGGGAUGGUAAUUGUACUCGUAAAUCUGUAAAUUUGUCUAAAUUCAUCUGUCAAAAUUCGUCCGUUGUGGGUAAUUUUAUUAGUUGCGGGCGGGUUUAAUAUUAUAAAUUAAAACCCGCACAUGAAUGGGGGUGGGUUUGAUAUUAAUCUUAUAUCCGGUGGAUACCCGCAUGGAUAUCCAUUAAACCCGCAAUAUUUUUUUCAAAUAUUUUUAAUUUAAUUUAAAUCUAAAAAUGUAUAAAGAAAAUAAUGUCAUUAAUUAAAUUACCAAAUAACCAAAGGCUCAAAGUUGUGUAUGUGUGUAUGUGUGUAUGUGGCCUAUAUCAUAUUCUAAAAUCAUAAUCUAAAGAAAACUAAAGGCAUUUUCCUUCGAAUUAAUAUUUGAAAAUAUUAAUCUUAAUUAUUAUUAUAGGCAUUGUGUUGGAUGGGUGCUUAUGGUGGUGAAUAAAAUGAAUAUCUUCUCUUGGAGCUUGUUUUAAAUGAUAAUAUGAAAUGUAAUUAUUAUUUUUAGAUAUUAGUUUGUGUUUUUUAAAUGGAUUUGUGUAAUUUAUACUUAAAUUUGAGAAUUUAUGUUGAAUUGAUGUGGAAAUUUUAAUUUUUCAUUUACAUUAUUUAAAUAUAAAAUUGAGUAUGUUAUAUGGAAUUUGAGGUUAUUAUUAUAAAUUUAUAUAUUAAACAUUUGUGAUUUUAAAUACGGAAACCCGCAAAAAAUCCGCCGGAUACCAUUGCGGGUUUGGUAAUUGUUAAAACCCGCUGCGGGUGGGUUUUUGUAAAAAAAUUAAAACCCGCUGCGGGUUACCGGUGGGUUUGGUAGUUUAAAUUUUGUGCGGGUUUGGGUUUGGUAAUGGCAAACCCGCUACGGGCAGUGCCCAUUGCCAUCCCUAUUCAAGCCCCGGGAUGUAUAUAGAGAUUUUCUUUUAAUUAUGCUAUAUAAUUAAGUGAAUGCUGUGUUUUAUCUUUUGAAAAAUGAGUAGAAUAAAUAUUCUUUGAAUAGUGAUAAAUUAAUUUCAAUAAUUGACUGAUUGUAAAUAUUAGUUGUAAUUUCAUACAAUAUGAGUUGUAAUUUGAGUGUUAAUAUCAUGUAAUUAAAAAUAAAAAAUAAUCUUCUUUACUCAUUUCACUUCCAAUUUCAUGUUGAUGCCCUUACAUUAUUGAUUUAUCUAUAUUUUUUUUAUUUUACACAUUUUUUUUGGACUCUUCCUUUUGCUUUUUCUUUUUCCUCAGCUAUAAUGUUCCCAAAUUUAAUAGAGAAACAAAGCUAUAAAUGAUCAAUUUAUUAGUUUGAUAAUUUACAAACUCGCAAUAGAUGAUACUCAUUUUCAUCCCUAGAUGAAUGCAACAUGGUCGCGGACAGAAUACAUCGAGGCUCGGAAAGAACGUUGGCCUAAGGCAUUUUUAGAAAGAUUAGGGAUUUAACUGAAAUUCAAUUCCUUUAAAAUGUGAAGUUUACGUUUUGCACCCUUUGAAUUUACAGUUUCUUAUUUAUGGCAUCUCAAUUUGGCUUCUCUCGAAUAUGGUCCACGUUAAACCAAAAUUAUAAUUGCACCACUAAAUGUGAUAGAGAUGAAAAAAUAUUUGAAGUGGAAAGUUUGUGAGUUUCUAUAUUUUUUUAAGGAUAUAUUUUAAGUAUUAUAUAGAUAAAAAUUAACUAUCUACCUAAGUAAUCAAGCGAGCAAUUUACACUUCAGACCUCUUUUACAUCAACGAUUUAUGUUUGGCAGACUCAAUUUGUCAAUAACUAGAUAUAUGUUAUUACAGACUCAAUUUGGGGCAUAUUCUAGGGUAAGGAAACUGAAAAUACCUAUUUUCGAAGUUGAGGAUGCCUAUGAAUGAGUGUAUAGGGUAGAGCGCUAUUUCUCCAUCAAUGGACUCUAAGAAAGGGAAAAAUUGAUGGCGGCGGCGUUAUGUUUGGAGGGAAAGGCCCUUGUGCGGUUUCAAUGGCGAGAACAACGACAUCGUUAAGGUCAUGAGGUGAGUCUAAGGAUUGGCUAUUGGAUAGGUUUCGGGCCACUCAAGAAGGAGAUUUGUAUGAAUAGUUUUUUACUCUGACCUAGGAUAGAACGGUUAUAGUUUGAGUUGCUAUCAGGGCGUCGAAGGGGAAUUCCAUAGGCGGUAUUGGAAGGGAAUUUUAUGAAGGGACUGAAGUCAGAAAUCCGAGCCUUACUAUGCUUGAUAAGGCCGAGAGGGUUAGGGGAGUCAAUGGAGUUGGCACAAAUGGCUAAGGAUAAGAACACAAUAGAACAGGUUAAUAGGAGCAAUUCAAUCGAUUUUUCAUACCAAAACAGCAUGCCAUUGGUAGGAUAGAAAACCCAGACUUUAGGGUUUAAACGAGAGUUCCAAAGUACACCACUGGGAGGCCAGAAAAUGCAAAUGGUGGAUUUAAAGAGAGAUUCCCAAAGGGAUCGGGAUAGUGGGGCACGACAUGGGGUGACUUUCAAACGUCUCAUGGAGACAGAGAUUCAGGAUAAGAGGGUGAAGGGGUUGUGUUUUUGAUGUAAUGAGAAAUUUUCACGAGGGCAUCGAUGUAAGGAUAAAUCACUACAAGUCCUAACUGUGUGUGAUGAGGAAGAAGGCCGGGAAGAAGCCGAGGAAGAAGACGCAGUAGUUUCCAAGAUUUCACCUUGAGGACGAGGUGUCUUUUUGAGAGGGGAGUAAUGUUAGACCAAAGAAAACUAAGGUGCAAUUACAAGGAGGCAGGGGCACUUUAGUAAUCUUAAGGGCAGAGACAGUUUAAUAAUUUUAUUAUUAAUUAGGGUUCAGGUAUAAAUAAGAGAUUAUGGAGUCACUUAAGAUUUAUGUUGGGUUUUGUCUAGUGUUAAGAAUAAUUAAGAGUUUGGGAGAGAUUGACUUACCUCUUGUAGGUCAAGAUUGUUAUUUAUUUUUAUCAAUCAAUAAAAAAUCAACCCUAAUUUAACUCUAAGUCAUAUCAUAACGGAAUUUGUGUUAUUGACCUCUUCUUUUUUCCCUUUUCCUUCUUCUUGUAACAACUUCUUUACGAAACAUGUCUCUGCGUCUGGCUCUUGUCUUACUAUGAACCUGCAGUGGAGUACUUGGCAACUAAUAGAACCCUACCACGACUAAUAGAUGUUGUUAAGAGUUCCACAAAGGAGAAUGUGAGAUCUGGUUUCUUGGUAGUAUUUAAUGUUAGCAAAGGCUCACUGCUGCACAAGAUGAGUGUCAUCCACUUGAAUACUAUUAACUUGUUAUACAUACGUAUAUUUAAAUAUAUUUAUAUUGGCUUGUGGUAGAAAUACGCUAUUUUCUUAUCCAAAAGAAUACGUUCUUUUGUUCAUAUGGUUAUUAAGAUAGGCAUAUCCUGCUAGGUUGUCAGGGUGGUGGUCUUGAUCCUUAGAAACUUGCUUCCCAAAGGUAAUUUUGCUGCUCAGAUGAUAGACCUUGGACUACCUCAAGUUGUUCAAAGUUUAAAAGCACAAGCAUGGAGUGAUGAGGUAAGAGAAGUUGCUCGCUGUUUAGUUUUUCUUUUUCGGCUGAUUGCAUAAUUAUUUAGUUAAUAGAUCGAGUAAAAUUAAGGGAGUUGAUGGCGCUGUUUGCUACUGAUUGGUGCAUUUGGUGAUCAUUUUAUAUGGAUUUAAAAUUUACUUCAGCUUCUGUGAAGUAUGGUGUGGUAGAAUAGUCAGUUGCUUGUGUGAUGACAAAAACUACUGUUAUUUUGUUCAUUAUAUGAAUAUUAGUGUUAUUUUGGUGAUAAUUGAUGAUAGAAGGUAUGCUUAUCAGAGUCUUUUUACCCCAUACUUGGGAUCGGCUAGUCAAUUAUGAUUAUGAUACCGUUACACCCUAUUAUUCCUUUGUUCAGCAUGGAAUAAUGUUGUUUCCAUCUACACUUUGAUUGAAGCUCUGGCUGGCAGAAAGUGCUGACUACUAUUGUACGGACCUACACUAUCUUUGACAACUUGAGACAUUUAUCCUACGACAAUGUUACCUAUAAUGGCUGACAAAUGCCUGCUUUAUUUAAUUCUCAAGCACCUGUCAUCUGAGCAAUGUUAAAUCAAUUAAUUGUGCCUUUUUUAUUACCACAUAUUUUCUUUGGCCUUGAACCAUCCAAUUUUGCCAAGGCUCGACUCUUUUUCCUCAUGAUGAACUGAAGCUGUAUAUUGCUUUUGUGGAAUCUUGGCAUCCAACACUAAAUUAAGAUUUCAGCCUUCAAACUUAUAAUGCAAGAUAUUAGAUUGUGUUUGGGUGGCUCCUGAAUAGUGCCAAAAAGAAUGAGUCUUGGCCACCAUUGCUGAAUUUUGUUUAACCUUUAACACAAUGAUGACUUCAUCUUGCUACAUUUACAUAUAAUAGAUUUCAUUAUCUUCUUAGGAUUUACUGGAGGGUCUGAAUCAACUGGAAGAAGGUUUGAAGGAUAAUACUAAGAGAUUGAGUUCUUUGGACAAGUACAUGCAAGAAGUCCUCCUUGGCCAUCUCGACUGGUCCCCCAUGCACAAAGAUCCCCUAUUCUGGCGUGAUAAUAUCACAAACUUCGAAGAAAAUGAUUUCCAGGUAUUUCUUUUCCCCAUGGACGGUGUUUCUAGUUUUUAUUUUCAUUUUUUCUGCCUUAACUUCACUGAAUGACUCCUGCUAAUAUCUGUAUCGUCUCGUUCAGCAUCAUUUUGUAACUAAUGGAUAAUCUUCUCUCACAGAUUCUAAGGGUCCUCUUAACAAUUUUGGAUACAUCCAGUGAUCCACGAGCUCUUGCUGUCGCUUGCUUUGAUCUCUCACAGUUUAUCCAGUACCAUCCAGCUGGGCGGGUCAUUGUGACGGACCUCAAAGCCAAGGAACGGGUGAUGAAAUUGAUGAACCAUGAGAACACCGAGGUUACCAAGAGCGCCUUACUCUGCAUCCAAAGGCUUUUCCUAGGCGCAAAGUACGCGAGCUUUUUGCAGGCCUGAAUUCUCUUUCUAUGGGGUCCCGUAUUGUUUACAAAGGAAAUGCUUGUAAUGAUUUGAUUCCAGUUUGGCUGUGGUUAGGUUGUUUAUUUAUUUAUCAAUCAUUGGAGGAAUUUAUGAAUCAGGGGAACUCGUCUGUUGGAUUCUUUUAAGUACUGUGAAGAAUUAGUUGAUUUUUUACCAUAUUUUGGAAAUUUAUUUUGUUUUUGAGAUGAGGAAUGAAUUGAUACCAUCUGUACUGACCUUUGAUAUGAAAACUACUCGAGCGCAUGACAUAUAUCUGUUUUUGUUCAUUUCUGUAUCUUGCUGCUGACUGAAGCUGGAUUUUCAGGCUCGUUAUUAUCAUCUAUUCUUUUGAAGUUGCAAAAUGAAUUCUCAAUAUUUUCAGGGGAAAUGCUUAUAAUUAGCGCGGAAUUAAACAUUGGUUGUGAACUGUAUACUUCCAAAAGGCAAUUUAUUUCCAUUGAUUUGAGUAAACUAAAUCUCCGUGAUGGUAUCACUUAUUUAAUCACUUAUUAAAGAAUUCUGUGAAAAUUUGAUGAUUGCUGUUGAAAACAUUUACUAAUUGUAAAUGCGUUAAAAAUUUAUACAAUAUUGAGAAUUCAAACAGCUCCAUGUCUCCUCCAUUGACACACAUCAUUCCCCACUGUUCUACCAUUAUAUAAUUCAGGUCUUUCAUCAGUUUAUCUCCUCAAUUUUGAACAUUUAUUAUUAUUAUUAUUAUUUUUUCCUGGGGUUGAUCUGGCAUGAAUCAGACAAGUGCUGCUAUGGCCAAACUUUCCCGGGAUGGUAAAUCUCAACCCUUUUGCAGAACUCUUAACUUCUGAAAUUAGUAGGUCUAUGAAAUUUGAAGAGCAUAUGCUGGAAGCCAUUGCCUUCCCACAUCUGAAGUAAAGAGUAAUGCUACUUUGACAGAAAUUGGUUUACAAAAUUUUGACAAACUUAUGAAAGACUAAAUUACCUUUCAGUUUAUUUACAAAUUGCGGAUGAUAAUAAAACAGGGGAUGAUGAUUUAGGGUUUUACAUAUUUUUGUCAAACUGCUAGACAACUAAGCUAAAAUUAUCAAUUUUAUGUUGUGUUAGUAAAUAAUCAAUAAUGAUUUUUGCAAUACGAAAUAAUUAAUAUUUUGUUUAGGCAAUUUUAAAAAUGUGAUAACAAUUUUAAAGAAUAAAUAAUUAUCUCAAAUAACUAAAAAAAAUAUAUUAAAUCCUUAAAUUAACAAAUAUAUUUUUGUAAAAAACUUAUAAAUAUUUUUAUGUGGAGCCAAGUUAUUUAAGUUGGGAACUAAAAAUUUUAUUAUAAUAUAAAGUUUAUUCUUAUUUAUAAUUUGUCCAAAUUAAAGUUAAAUUUUUUUUAUAACUAUGAAAGAGUUAUUUCUAUAUAGAUUAUCACUAUAAAUAUAGAGUCACUAUAAAAAAGAUUUUACGAUAUUGAUUCAUAAUCAAUCAUCCCUCAUAAUAAGCACAAGAAUGACAAGUUUUGAGUCUCAAAUAAAUUCAACCACUUACACGUGAAGCAAACGAAACAAGAAGAAUCUUAAGAAAAAAACACUCACCAGCAUGCAAGGUUCAAUCCGGGCUUAGCCCCUCUAACCACAGUUCGUCAAGAGAUUGGAAACAGAGACGAAAAGCAUUUUGAGUGGCUUCAUCCUUCCAUUGAAGCCCUCUCCACCAGUAUUCACCUCCACGAAUAAGAAUUCUACGCCCAUUUGCACUAUUUGAAUCGAGUGGAAGCUUCUUAAGCGAAUCGCAACCCCGAAAUUCCAAUUCUUUCAGACGUGGGAGAGGCAAGGGCUUCCAGUAAAUGCUCUUCAAAUUGCGCAGUCGCUCUAACCGAAGACGCUGGAGUUUUGCAAAAGGGCUGCUUAUUAUUCCCGUCAUCUCAGGAAUGUCAUCAAACUCUCCAGCACUGAUUAUUUCUUCCAUGUCAUUGCAAUAGCGUACGGAAAUAGACUUGAGGUUUGGAGCAAAAACGAGGAAUGUCAAGUGUUUCAAAUUUCUGCAACUGUCUACGGUAACUUCCUCAAGGCUGCGGAAAACAUAAGGUUGGCGCGAUUUUUGUACCAUAUCUUUGUAGUCAAUCCUCAGUCCCCCAGGCCAAUCACAACCAACAAAGGAUAAUGUAUUGAGCUGCUCUAGAUCUGCUAAAUCUGCAACAUCGAUCGACUCCUCCCUAUCGAACUCAUCGAGCAAGAGAGCUUGGGUACAACUUCGUAACUUCUGUGAGCUCAAAAAUGUUUGGUAAGCCUUAAAACUCCUGAAGGUGAUCUCCAGUACCUCUAAAUAUUUCAAACCGAGCAAUUCCUCUGCUACAUUCUCAUGCCAAGAGCUAGACAGUCCGUAAGGUGAUCUAACACCAAUAGCAAACAUUCUCAACACACGUAACCUUGAAAAAUUAGAUAACAGUUGCUGUGGAACUACAACUAACUCUUUUGCCCAGUCCAAAUUCAAACAUUUAAGAUUUACCAACGCUUUUAACUCUUCUGGUAACUCUCCAACGCUUGUUUUUGAAAUAUCAAGGAGUUGUAGUGAAACCAACUUUGAGAUCCCCAUUGGUAACUGCCGUAGCGUUUCAUUAUCUGACAUCUUCAAAACUGUUAGACAAGACAUAGACUGGAAGAAGCCACCGGUGAUCGUCCUCAACGGAUUACGGUUAAGAAACAAAGUAAGAAGAUGAGGGCAUGUCGGAACAGUUGGUAGAUUAUCAAUUGAAUUUCUCAUCAAUGAUAAUCUUCUCACAAUUUCCCAUCCUCUGACAUCUGCAGGUGCCUCCCUUAAUCCGGAACCUGCAUAAACCAAAAAGCCCUCCUUCUCCUUCUCAAUCUCACAAGUUAUCCACAAUGCCAUAUCGCGGACGACGUCAUGCAUUUUCACUUGAUCAUCUUCUACCUCUUCCAAUAAACAUGCAUGAACAAGAGUGCCCACGAUAUAGUAUCCUCGGUUUUGUGUGCCAAACUUGUCUUCUUCCAAAAACCCCUCGCACAUCCAGCAAUCAAUCAAGUCUCUUUUAUCUAUGCCGUAAUCUUCCGGAUAUAAACAACAAUAUAAGAAACAAGAUCUGAUUGCAUCGCUUGGCAAGCAAUCAUAACUGAAUUUUAAAAGAGGAUAUACCUCCUUUCCCAAACCUGCAAAUUCGGAAACUGAUCUUCUUAAAACUUCAAUCGCAUAUCUCCAUUCUUCAGGAGUCUUUUUGUAGGCCAUGGCUCGACCAAUAGUAAUAAGCGCGAGCGGCAAUCCACCGCACUCCUUUGCCACAGUUUGAGCUAGUUGAGGAAUACUAUGAUGACUCUCAAUAGUUUCUUCCCCAACUUUCUCUCGAAAUAGCUCCCAAGCAUCCUCAUCGGAUAAGCAUUCCACUUUGAACUUCCUUCGAGCUUCCAUACCGCCACAAACAUCAACGAAACGGGUUGUAAAUACCACUGCACUAUUUUUUGGAAGAGGGACGCCUACCUUCUUUAGAUCAACCCGCUCCCAUAGAUCAUCCAACAACAAAGCAAACUUCUUCUUGCUUAAAGUCUUGAAGAUGUCCUGAGCUUUCUCUUCGAGACUUCUGUCCUUCCAUGAAUCAGUAUAUAGACCUAUCUUUUUCCCGAUAGUUUCUUGAAUUUUUUCAAGCUGCAGGUCUUUUGACACCACAACCCAAAUCACAGAAUCAAAAUCUGUUGGAUUAUCAACAAAUUUAUUAUUGAUUUGGGUUAACAGUGUAGUUUUACCGACACCGCCCAUGCCGUAUAGGCCAAUUAUACCAGCUGCAGGUUCUUGUACAAGACAUCUCCAAACUUGUUCAAGUUGUGAUUGCAAGCCUACCACCGUUGGCUCAGUAGGUCUUUCAUCUGCCACAGAUAUUAAUUCUGGAGCUGCCGCGGCCACCUCUUCAAAAACUCCUUCGCCCUU